UCCAGACUCCUACGGGAGGCAGCAGUCGGGAAUAUUGCGCAAUGGAGGAAACUCUGACGCAGUGACGCCGCGUAUAGGAAGAAGGUUUUCGGAUUGUAAACUAUUGUCCACAGGGAAGAAAAAAGACUGUACCUGUGAAGAAAGCUCCGGCUAACUCCGUGCCAGCAGCCGCGGUAAUACGGAGGAUGCGAGCGUUAUCCGGAUUUAUUGGGUUUAAAGGGUGCGCAGGCGGCGUGUCAAGUCAGCGGUAAAAUGUCGGGGCUCAACCCCGGCCGGCCGUUGAAACUGGCGUGCUCGAGUUGGAGAGAAGUAUGCGGAAUUCGUGGUGUAGCGGUGAAAUGCAUAGAUAUCACGAAGAACCCCGAUUGCGAAGGCAGCAUACCGGCUCCACACUGACGCUGAGGCACGAAAGCGUGGGUAUCGAACAGGAUUAGAUACCCCCGUAGAA
This 448-nucleotide ribosomal RNA is filed under the name uncultured bacterium. RNAcentral's name for it is "partial 16S ribosomal RNA". It matches the Rfam family "Bacterial small subunit ribosomal RNA", at positions 330 to 795 of the family's 1533-position model. The record is from RNAcentral.